GUCAGAAUGGUUCAAUUGUUUGAAUGUUAGACUACAACUCUGGGAAACUAGAGUUCAAAUCCCUGCUCAGCCA
Molecule: transfer RNA, 73 nt
Filed under: Anolis carolinensis (green anole)
Lineage: Eukaryota; Metazoa; Chordata; Lepidosauria; Squamata; Anolidae
Rfam family: tRNA
About the family: Transfer RNA (tRNA) molecules are approximately 80 nucleotides in length.
Source: Rfam by way of RNAcentral